GACGAACGCUGGCGGCGUGCUUAACACAUGCAAGUCGAACGGAAAGGCCCUGCUUUUGUGGGGUGCUCGAGUGGCGAACGGGUGAGUAACACGUGAGUAACCUGCCCUUGACUUUGGGAUAACUUCAGGAAACUGGGGCUAAUACCGGAUAGGAGCUCCUGCUGCAUGGUAGGGGUUGGAAAGUUUCGGCGGUUGGGGAUGGACUCGCGGCUUAUCAGCUUGUUGGUGGGGUAGUGGCUUACCAAGGCUUUGACGGGUAGCCGGCCUGAGAGGGUGACCGGCCACAUUGGGAAUGAGAUACGGCCCAGAGUCCUACGGGAGGCAGCAGUGGGGAAUAUUGCACAAUGGGCGGAAGCCUGAUGCAGCAACGCCGCGUGCGGGAUGAAGGCCUUCGGGUUGUAAACCGCUUUCGCCUGUGACGAAGCGUGAGUGACGGUAAUGGGUAAAGAAGCACCGGCUAACUACGUG
Molecule: ribosomal RNA, 468 nt
Filed under: uncultured bacterium
Lineage: Bacteria
Description: partial 16S ribosomal RNA
Rfam family: Bacterial small subunit ribosomal RNA
Source: RNAcentral